GACGGGGAUGCAAGUGUUAUCCGGAAUCACUGGGCGUAAAGCGUCUGCAGGUGGUUUCCUAAGUCCACUGUUAAACCUUGAGGCUCAACCUCAAAUCUGCAUUGGAAACUAGGAGACUUGAGUAUAGUAGGGGUAGAGGGAAUUUCCGAGUGGAGCGGUGAAAUGCGUAGAUAUUGGAAAGAACACCGAUGGCGAAGGCACUCUACUGGGCUAUUACUGACACUCAGAGACGAAAGCUAGGGGAGCAAAUGGG
This 253-nucleotide ribosomal RNA is filed under the name uncultured bacterium. RNAcentral describes it as "partial 16S ribosomal RNA". It matches the Rfam family "Bacterial small subunit ribosomal RNA", at positions 524 to 776 of the family's 1533-position model. The record is from RNAcentral.